RNAcentral lists this ribosomal RNA (460 nucleotides) under uncultured bacterium. RNAcentral's name for it is "SSU rRNA". It matches the Rfam family "Bacterial small subunit ribosomal RNA", at positions 26 to 518 of the family's 1533-position model. The record is from RNAcentral.
AGAACGAACGCUGGCGGCAUGCCUAACACAUGCAAGUCGAACGCUUGCCCGGUUUCGGCCGGGCAGGAGUGGCGCACGGGUGAGUAGCGCGUGGGAACCUGCCCUGUUGUGGGGGAUAACCGAGGGAAACUUCGGCUAAUACCGCAUGCGCCCGGAGCAAUCCGGGGAAAGAUUUAUCGCAGCAGGAGGGGCCCGCGUCGGAUUAGGUAGUUGGUGGGGUAACGGCCCACCAAGCCUGUGAUCCGUAGCUGGUCUGAGAGGAUGAUCAGCCACACUGGGACUGAGACACGGCCCAGACUCCUACGGGAGGCAGCAGUGGGGAAUAUUGGACAAUGGGCGCAAGCCUGAUCCAGCAAUGCCGCGUGAGUGAUGAAGGCCUUAGGGUUGUAAAGCUCUUUCGCCCGCGACGAUGAUGACGGUAGCGGGAGAAGAGCCCGGCUAACUUCGUGCCAGCAGCCGC